UGGGGAAUAUUGCACAAUGGGGGAAACCCUGAUGCAGCGACGCCACGUGAACGAAGAAGGUAUUCGUAUCGUAAAGUUCUGUCCUAUGGGAAGAUAAUGACAGUACCAUAGAAGAAAGCUCCGGCUAAAUACGUGCCAGCAGCCGCGGUAAUACGUAUGGAGCGAGCGUUGUCCGGAAUUAUUGGGCGUAAAGGGUACGCAGGCGGUUUAAUAAGUCGAAUGUUAAAGAUCGGGGCUCAACCCCGCAAAGCAUUGGAAACUGAUAAACUUGAGUAGUGGAGAGGAAAGUGGAAUUCCUAGUGUAGUGGUGAAAUACGUAGAUAUUAGGAGGAAUACCAGUAGCGAAGGCGACUUUCUGGACACAAACUGACGCUGAGGUACGAAAGCGUGGGGAGCAAACAGG
RNAcentral lists this ribosomal RNA (403 nucleotides) under bacterium. RNAcentral describes it as "partial 16S ribosomal RNA". It matches the Rfam family "Bacterial small subunit ribosomal RNA", at positions 355 to 776 of the family's 1533-position model. The record is from RNAcentral.